Sciurus vulgaris (Eurasian red squirrel) is the source of this 131-nucleotide small nucleolar RNA. Its record names the gene SNORA72. It matches the Rfam family "Small nucleolar RNA SNORA72". Rfam says of the family: U72 is a member of the H/ACA class of snoRNAs. The snoRNA gene is located in intron 4 of the ribosomal L30 protein gene in human, mouse and chicken. The record is from Ensembl. Lineage: Eukaryota; Metazoa; Chordata; Mammalia; Rodentia; Sciuridae.
UUGUAAAUGUUCUUGUUCUUCUGAUUUUGAAAUAAUCAGGACAUGUUAACCAAUCACUACAUUAGCACCAAGCAUGGGUUCCCUGACCUAGUUCUUUCCCUAGUCUAGUUUUAUAAAUGCUAGUAAUAAAC